AUACGGAGGGUCCGAGCGUUAUCCGGAAUCAUUGGGUUUAAAGGGUCCGCAGGCGGAUUAAUAAGUCAGUGGUGAAAUCCUCUCGCUCAACGAGAGAACUGCCAUUGAAACUGUUAGUCUUGAAUUCGGUCGAAGUAGGCGGAAUGUGUCAUGUAGUGGUGAAAUGCAUAGAUAUGACACAGAACACCGAUAGCGAAGGCAGCUUACUAGACCUGGAUUGACGCUCAUGGACGAAAGCGUGGGGAGCGAACAGGAUUAGAAACCCGGGUAGUCC
This 274-nucleotide ribosomal RNA is filed under the name uncultured bacterium. RNAcentral describes it as "partial 16S ribosomal RNA". It matches the Rfam family "Bacterial small subunit ribosomal RNA", at positions 523 to 796 of the family's 1533-position model. The record is from RNAcentral.